GCAUCUAAGCGGGAAGCCCUCUUCAAGAUGAGGACUCUCACAGGGUUAACCUGGUAAGGCCCCCAGUAGACCACUGGGUUGAUAGGCCGGAAGUGGAAGUGCGGCAACGCAUGCAGCUGACCGGUACUAAUAGGCCGAGGACUUGACCUCAUACACAC
This 158-nucleotide ribosomal RNA is filed under the name Actinomycetota bacterium. Its description in RNAcentral is "Actinobacteria bacterium partial 23S ribosomal RNA". It matches the Rfam family "Bacterial large subunit ribosomal RNA", at positions 2777 to 2925 of the family's 2925-position model. Lineage: Bacteria; Bacillati; Actinomycetota. The record is from RNAcentral.